CGGGUGAGUAACACGUGAGUAACCUCGCCCCCUUCCCUCUGGAUAACCGCAUGAAAGUGUGGCUAAUACGGGAUAUUCUGCGCCUGCUGCAUGGUGGGUGUGGGAAAGAUAUUGUUUCGGUGGGGGAUGGGCUCGCGGCCUAUCAGCUUGUUGGUGGGGUGAUGGCCUACCAAGGCGGUGACGGGUAGCCGGCCUGAGAGGGUGGACGGUCACACUGGGACUGAGACACGGCCCAG
Molecule: ribosomal RNA, 236 nt
Filed under: uncultured bacterium
Lineage: Bacteria
Description: partial 16S ribosomal RNA
Rfam family: Bacterial small subunit ribosomal RNA
Source: RNAcentral